Molecule: long non-coding RNA, 733 nt
Organism: Tupaia belangeri chinensis (Chinese tree shrew)
Lineage: Eukaryota; Metazoa; Chordata; Mammalia; Scandentia; Tupaiidae
Exons: 2
Source: RefSeq, a predicted model, not a curated record
UACAUAAGUAAGUAAAUAAAUAAAUAAAUAAAUAAACAAAAAACCUCCCUUCAUCUGAUCCUCUGGAAAAUUAAAAAUAUCAGUUGCUUUAUACGACAAAUAGUUCUGUUUUGUAGACAUUAGUUGAUUAGAUUCUCUUUCUUCUGUAAAUAACUACAAGUAAUUUUAUUGGCAUAAAUGUUUUAUAUUUUAAGUACAUUUGUAAAUUAAUUAUAUAUGUAUAUAAAGAAAACCAAAUCAAUGGCAUAAACAUGAUCACUUCAUCAUAAUUGUCUCUGUUACUGUUCUUUUUCUACGACCAGUGAAACUUUUUGUUAAUGAGGUGCCAUUGCAACAUCACAAAGCUUCACAAGGCCCAGAGGUGUGCUAUGCUAGGCCAUCCUUAUCUGACAAGGCUCUUGAUGAGGAGCGAGGGCAUGUGAGGAAGUGGAAUCCGCAUUCUCUGACCUGGCAACAUGGCGUGAUAAUGACUGAAAUGACAACAUGCCUUUCAUUUUUGCGGGUUCAACCUGGGUGGCUGGUCUUAUAUGUCCAUGAAGGCCUGGAACCAACACAAGAAAACCCACUUGCAGGGAGACUGCCUACAGCUGCUCACACUCACAGAGGUUUAAGGAUCCCUUUCUGAGCCUGUGUUCCUUCAAAAGAUGCAAACUCCAAAAGUCCAGCUUGUACUGCUAAUUGUUCCUCAUAGUUGUACAAUUCCUAACUAUAAAAGAUCCAAGUGAAGAAGAAA